Molecule: ribosomal RNA, 206 nt
Filed under: uncultured bacterium
Lineage: Bacteria
Description: partial 16S ribosomal RNA
Rfam family: Bacterial small subunit ribosomal RNA
Source: RNAcentral
CAGAUUGCAGGCUGCAACUCGCCUGCAUGAAGUCGGAAUUGCUGUAAUCGCAGAUCAGCAUGCUGCGGUGAAUACGUUCCCGGGCCUUGUACACACCGCCCGUCACACCAUGGGAGUCGGUAACACCCGAAGUCGGUAGCCUAACCGUAAGGAGGGCGCCGCCGAAGGUGGGAUUGAUGACUGGGGUGAAGUCGUAACAAGGUACC